UCAUAUACCCUUUUCACCAAUCGCUCCCUUCCCAUUCUUUCAACAUGUCCGAACCAACCCAGUGCCUUUUGCUUUGCUCUAUCAGCCAACUCUCGCAUCACACCAGUUCUCUCUCGGAUAACUUCAUUUAAACCUAAUUUUCUUUACAUAUGAAAGGAUUCUGUGGGGGGAAAAAACAGGAUCAAGUUCAAAUGUUUGUUUAUUCAAAACAAGCAAAUUUAGUGAACAUCCAGAUUCUGUAGAAAUCAGUGGGUAUCUGAUUGCAGUUCUGUCAUGAUCUCAUUUCUGAUUUACAGUCAUUAUGGAUGUGACUGACAUGGCUGCUCGCUCUGAACCUCCACAGCAGCCAGAGCCCAGCAUAUGGAAGAGAGGACUGCAGCACGAUGCACCACACUAGGAGUGUCAAGACUCCGCUGCGGUUUCUUAGCAACAGUGCACGACGGGGCGUUGCUUCCCAUCACCUUAUCACACAGGAAAGCAGAAAAAUCAAACUUAUGCGCUGUCCUGGAUUUGAACCUCAAAUGCAUCCCAAAUCCCACACACGUAACCUUGGAGACGCAACUCUAGAAGUUGAACUUUUCCACCACCAACUUCAGGAGCAGCAGAGGUUUGAUGUUUCUGCCUCGUGAUGUUGGCAGGAGUAAUUUUUCAGUUGAAAUGAUGCACCUUUUAGGCCAACAGGUGGAAAUCCUACCUUCCUUUCAUUUCUACACAGUUCAUUCUUUUCCCAAUCAUAAUUAUUACGAUUCCACUGUCCUGGAACAGUUGUUGAGGACAGAAAAUCAAUGGAUUAGUGACAUCAUUUACUUCAGGCUUCAUUGUGCAAAUGUCAGACAAACUUCCAGCAGAAUUUCAGACCGUCACUUUCUAACAAGCGUCCUCCAUCUGUGCCAGAGGAGACUGAGCAGGUCUGUGAGGUGCCAUGUGGCGGGAAAGUUCGGGUAAAAGCUGAAUUUCUGCCACUGUCAGAUCAAACCUCACUCAGAUCCUGGCUAAAAGCAGGAGCAGGAAAACAUCUUGUUUUUUAUUUUGUUGCUGUAUUGGUUUUUUGUUUUUUUUACUUUAUUUUCCCGUUUUUGGAUUUAUCUUUGGAGUAUGUCCAUAAUUAACUUUCUUCUAAGUCUAAAAGUAGAAAAAUACUUUCAGAGAAUCUAAUUUUUAUUUGGUAAACUACACAUAAUCUUUAAAUUUCAAUGGUGUGCAGUUUAAAAAUACACUGAACUAGAUGUUUGACAUGUACCAUAAUAAAUACCUAAACACAAAAUGUGUUUAUUUGCUCUUUAACCGUUAUCUUCUUGAAUGUUUUCUCAGUGGAGCUAAAUGUUGCCCAUUCAUUUGUUUGCUGUUUGUGGUUUUUCCAGGUCUAUUUUAUCAUUUAAAAUACACUGAAUGACGGCAUUAACUAACACAUCAGUAAACAAUUGGCAGAAAGGUCUUAAAUUCUGUUAAGUUGAGCAGUUUUCAAUAAAAAAAAAAAAAUCAAAUGUCUUAAUUUUCUGUAGAAAUCCACAGUGUCCUUGGACUGUGAUUCUACUGUAGGAUUUUCUGCAUUUGUGUUGUAAAAAAUACCAAGAAAUAAAGGAAAAAAACAAAAUUUGUCUGAACUUACAAGAUUUUCUUCCACGGUGGACCCACAUUCACCUUUCAUUAGCAGCGUCGACUCCAGCAUCCCUGGGUUUAGGGAACGGAUGGAUGGAUUUCCAUCACGUAUCUGGAACUCUCUGCUGGAUACGGCUCUUUAUAAGUAAUUCACUGCUUCAAUGCAUGAAAAAACUUGGAAAGCAGCUGCAUUCAAAACUGGAGAAAGUCCCUAGGAGUCUGUUAAGGUGUGUAUUCCAUCGUCUGUAUAUGAGAACUGGACGGGGUGAAGCCCGCCCCGCGGCGUUCCAAGCAGGAAGAAGCCACUCGUUAAAGAAGCCAAAACCAAACAGCUGCUCAGUGAUUCUGUUGGUCAGAAUAACCUAUUUUGCUCUUGAUAAUCCUUUUUGUCACAUUUUUUCUGUUGUUUCAGUUACAAACUGACCAAUCGAUGCCUUAAAAAACUAGGAGGCCUCAACAACAAACAUAGGACAGAUUCUCCUGAGCCCGCUUUCAAAUGGUAGGGGUGCAGACUUCCAACAUGUGCACUACAGGAAGGUAAGAGUGGUUGCCAUAGGAACCUUGACUCUGACCGACUCACAACAAUCACUGCUAACCGACGACCUCUUAAAUCUCUAAAAUUUGGCAAUCGUUUAUGACUUUAGGUUCUGAUGGCACCGAUUUGAUCCUGAUUGACAGCAAAGACCUAAACCUCCUAGAGUCGUUCCAUGCGGAGAUCCUGGAUCGCUGGACCUCCCAGCUUCAGCCGCGAAGCAUCCAAAGGUUUACGACUGACGAAGAGAAGAUAGCGGAGAGGGCUCCAGUUUGUUUCUUUAAAACCAUGAUACAUUUUAUUUCUUUUUCUUAAAAAACAAACAUUACAAAAAAAAUUUGAAUAAGGAAUUAGACCAAUGAAACAGCAGGAGAAAAAACAUUCAACUUUUUUUCUUUUUUAAAACUGAAAACAAAACAACAACAAAAAAACCAUCUCUUCUUGCAUUUCUUUUCUUUUAAAAAUUCUGCAGUGCCUGGCUCAAGGGCUUGAAUGGGUUGCUGGUUGAAGCCAGGCAGUGAGGUCUUGUGUGUUUGUGUUGAGAUGUGCGAUAAAACCGAAAGCCUGACCAACAACCACAAACCGUUGCCGAGAAGCAGCUGACGAGCAGAAAAUAGGAACGCGUUUGUGAAGUCUGAAGUGGCGGCGAGAAUCGGCGCGGGUUUUGAACACACAUGAAGGCUUUGAGUCAGAAAAGAGACGCUUAAAUAGUUAACCGGAUGAGGCGGCAAAGAAAGAAAGGAGGAGGAAUUAACUCUGAAGUCAAUAGUGUUGGUGAGGAUCAGGACGGACGCUCGCCGGCGGUUUCGCAGAAGCUGCUGGAAACGAAUUGACAAAAAAAAAAAAAAAAA
This is a non-coding RNA of Oryzias latipes (Japanese medaka), 2982 nucleotides long. NCBI's taxonomy places the organism in Eukaryota, Metazoa, Chordata, Actinopteri, Beloniformes, Adrianichthyidae. The record is from RefSeq and is a predicted model, not a curated record.